Molecule: ribosomal RNA, 253 nt
Filed under: uncultured bacterium
Lineage: Bacteria
Description: partial 16S ribosomal RNA
Rfam family: Bacterial small subunit ribosomal RNA
Source: RNAcentral
UACGUAGGCAGCAAGCGUUGUUCGGAAUUAUUGGGCGUAAAGCGCGUGUAGGCGGCUUUGCAAGUCGCGUGUGAAAUCCCUCGGCUUAACCGAGGAAGUGCGCGCGAAACUGCAGAGCUUGAGUACCGGAGAGGAUGGUGGAAUUCCCCAAGUAGAGGUGAAAUUCGUAGAUAUGGGGAGGAACACCGGUGGCGAAGGCGACCAUCUGGACGGAUACUGACGCUGAGACGCGAAAGCGUGGGGAGCAAACAGG